AGUCGAACGGAAAGGCCCUUCGGGGUACUCGAGUGGCGAACGGGUGAGUAACACGUGGGUGAUCUGCCCUGCACUUUGGGAUAAGCCUGGGAAACUGGGUCUAAUACCGAAUAGGACUACGGCCUGCAUGGGUUGUGGUGGAAAGCUUUUGCGGUGUGGGAUGGGCCCGCGGCCUAUCAGCUUGUUGGUGAGGUUACGGCUCACCAAGGCGACGACGGGUAGCCGGCCUGAGAGGGUGACCGGCCACACUGGGACUGAGAUACGGCCCAGACUCCUACGGGAGGCAGCAGUGGGGAAUAUUGCACAAUGGGCGCAAGCCUGAUGCAGCGACGCCGCGUGAGGGAUGACGGCCUUCGGGUUGUAAACCUCUUUCAGUAGGGACGAAGCGCAAGUGACGGUACCUAUAGAAGAAGGACCGGCCAACUACGUGCCAGCAGCCGCGGUAAUACGUAGGGUCCGAGCGUUGUCCGGAAUUACUGGGCGUAAAGAGCUCGUAGGUGGUUUGUCGCGUUGUUCGUGAAAACUCACAGCUCAACUGUGGGCGUGCGGGCGAUACGGGCAGACUUGAGUACUGCAGGGGAGACUGGAAUUCCUGGUGUAGCGGUGGAAUGCGCAGAUAUCAGGAGGAACACCGGUGGCGAAGGCGGGUCUCUGGGCAGUAACUGACGCUGAGGAGCGAAAGCGUGGGGAGCGAACAGGAUUAGAUACCCUGGUAGUCCACGCCGUAAACGGUGGGUACUAGGUGUGGGUUUCCUUCCUUGGGAUCCGUGCCGUAGCUAACGCAUUAAGUACCCCGCCUGGGGAGUACGGCCGCAAGGCUAAAACUCAAAGAAAUUGACGGGGGCCCGCACAAGCGGCGGAGCAUGUGGAUUAAUUCGAUGCAACGCGAAGAACCUUA
This 898-nucleotide ribosomal RNA is filed under the name Mycobacterium sp. Lor02. Its description in RNAcentral is "bacterial SSU rRNA". It matches the Rfam family "Bacterial small subunit ribosomal RNA", at positions 60 to 973 of the family's 1533-position model. Lineage: Bacteria; Bacillati; Actinomycetota; Actinomycetes; Mycobacteriales; Mycobacteriaceae. The record is from RNAcentral.